UCAGAGUUUUGAAUCCUGGCUCAGAGCGAACGCUGGCGGCAGGCCUAACACAUGCAAGUCGAACGAAGUCUUCGGACUUAGUGGCGGACGGGUGAGUAACACGUGGGAACGUGCCUUUAGGUUCGGAAUAACUCAGGGAAACUUGUGCUAAUACCGAAUGUGCCCUUCGGGGGAAAGAUUUAUCGCCUUUAGAGCGGCCCGCGUCUGAUUAGCUAGUUGGUGAGGUAAAGGCUCACCAAGGCGACGAUCAGUAGCUGGUCUGAGAGGAUGAUCAGCCACAUUGGGACUGAGACACGGCCCAAACUCCUACGGGAGGCAGCAGUGGGGAAUCUUGCGCAAUGGGCGAAAGCCUGACGCAGCCAUGCCGCGUGAAUGAUGAAGGUCUUAGGAUUGUAAAAUUCUUUCACCGGGGACGAUAAUGACGGUACCCGGAGAAGAAGCCCCGGCUAACUUCGUGCCAGCAGCCGCGGUAAUACGAAGGGGGCUAGCGUUGCUCGGAAUUACUGGGCGUAAAGGGAGCGUAGGCGGACAUUUAAGUCAGGGGUGAAAUCCCGGGGCUCAACCUCGGAAUYGCCUUUGAUACUGGGUGUCUUGAGUGUGAGAGAGGUAUGUGGAACUCCGAGUGUAGAGGUGAAAUUCGUAGAUAUUCGGAAGAACACCAGUGGCGAAGGCGACAUACUGGCUCAUUACUGACGCUGAGGCUCGAAAGCGUGGGGAGCAAACAGGAUUAGAUACCCUGGUAGUCCACGCCGUAAACGAUGAUUGCUAGUUGUCGGGAUGCAYGCMUUUCGGUGACGCAGCUAACGCAUAAGCAAUCCGCAUGGA
RNAcentral lists this ribosomal RNA (825 nucleotides) under Brevundimonas sp. RNAcentral's name for it is "bacterial SSU rRNA". Lineage: Bacteria; Pseudomonadati; Pseudomonadota; Alphaproteobacteria; Caulobacterales; Caulobacteraceae. The record is from RNAcentral.